CUGACUCUUUCCUAACUGAGCAUCUGCUGUGCCACAGCACAGGCAGAGAGAGUUGUCUGGGGGCUCCCUCUGACAUGCUUCUGUGGAGAGCUAAUUUAAGUUCCUGCAGGUGUCAGCUCUCAUCCUACCCAUGAAGGGGUAUGCCUCCACAACAAAGGUCUUCUCAAGCCCUGGGAGCACCACACUGGGCCAAGCCCUGCCCUGCACCUCCAGCCAUGGAUUCAGCACAUCGGUCCUGGAGCCAGGGGACCUCACAAGCUGCAAACCAUCACGAGCUGUCAGCAACGUCCACAAAUCUCACAGACAUCUGUGGCUUAUCAAGCCAGCAGCAUUUUUCCUACAUUAAUCUCCACUAGGCCUGCCCCAGCUUUCAUUUCAAAAGACUUGGCAUGGUAUCUUAUUAAAAAAAAAACAACAAAAAAACCCAAAACAAAACAAAACAAAAAAAACCACCAAAAAAUUUUUAAAAUUGCUCAAUUUCUUGAGAUGCAGCUGGUUAGGAGCAGUGCCUUUGAAAUGUGAGCACAUUGCAGAGAUGUGGACAUGCUCAUUGUAGGCAGCUUGCAGCACAGGGGACAGCACUAAUGCCUGCAAAAGGCUUUUAGAAGCUGCUUUUGGGUGAUCCUUCCCCUUCUUUUGGGGGAGUUUGGGGAGUGCUUUAAGUAGCUGCUGUGCUGGGUAGUUCAUCUGGAUGCAGUGCACUUGUGUUGAACACUCUCCACCAGCCAUUGAUUCUCCCAGCAGCUUUCAAAAACCUGCUGGAGGGCUGCAGCACCCUCCUGCUGGCCAUGUUGGUGUUCUCCAGCACUGGCUUUGCAGACAGUGGCCAGGUUAAGGCAACAGUCUUCACUGCUGAUGUGAUGGACACCCAGGAAACUGCUCCACCACAUUGCACAUGUCCAGCUUGGACCCCUCACCACACUGGUCAUCCUCCUUCCCACAUAUUGAAGGCCUUUUCAUAAAAAUCUUAGGGCACAAGCAGUAAUUAAUAUUCAUUUCCUGUGCACAGCCAAGAAAUAUUAGCACAACAAAAGCCCAGCCACCGGUGUCUCAGUUUACCUGAGCAUGCCUUUCAAUGCUCCUAGAGAGUGCAGGUGGGGCAGGUAAAUUGUCAUCCUUAUAGGUCUAAAAGCACAGGAGUAGGGGUGGCUGUGCUCCACACAGAUGAAAAAAAAAAAAAAAAAAAAAAAGGACUAAUGGUGUUUAUAGUUACAGCCCAUUUUCAGCUCCAGCUGUCUCAAAGCAGAGUGACAUAAAACACAUAAGUUCAUUGUAUUUCACAAGAGGAUAUCCAUAUCCUUUCAUAUCACAUUAAAAAUGUCAAAAUAUCUUUCUGUUCAGAGUGUGCAUGCCAGGAAAAGGUCAGAGCAGCAUUUUCAGUACUGAGCACGCGGUGCUCAUCACCAGACCAACUCUUCUCUGCCAUGAACAUCCCAAACUGAGUUAUCAACUCAGAUAUCCUUCCUUUUACAGCAGAGUGAUGCAUUUAAAAGCAGAAAACUUAACACUUCCCAAGUAAAGAGAAUGUUAAAAAUUUAAUUCCUAUUUUCUCCAGAAAUUCAGCUAAGCAAUUUCAUUGUUAGCAUUUCCAAGAAAAGAACUGGUUUCCCCCUUGCUUCU
This is a long non-coding RNA of Poecile atricapillus (Black-capped chickadee), 1620 nucleotides long. RefSeq lists it as uncharacterized. The record is from RefSeq and is a predicted model, not a curated record. NCBI's taxonomy places the organism in Eukaryota, Metazoa, Chordata, Aves, Passeriformes, Paridae. The transcript is spliced from 3 exons.